AUACCUCAGUAACGGCGAGUGAAGCGGUAACAGCUCAAAUUUGAAAUCUGGCUCUUUUAGGGUCCGAGUUGUAAUUUGUAGAAGAUGCUUUGGGUGUGGCCCUGGUCUAAGUUCCUUGGAACAGGACGUCAUAGAGGGUGAGAAUCCCGUAUGUGACUAGGUGCUUUCGCCCGUGUAAAGCUCUUUCGACGAGUCGAGUUGUUUGGGAAUGCAGCUCAAAACGGGUGGUAAAUUUCAUCUAAAGCUAAAUAUUGGCCAGAGACCGAUAGCGCACAAGUAGAGUGAUCGAAAGAUGAAAAGCACUUUGGAAAGAGAGUUAAACAGUACGUGAAAUUGUUGAAAGGGAAGCGCUUGCAACCAGACUUAGUUGCUGUCGAUCAUCUAGGGUUCUCCCUGGUGCACUCGAUAGUAUCUAGGCCAGCAUCGGUUUGGGUGGUGGGAUAAAGGCCUUGGGAAUGUAGCUUCUUUCGGGGAGUGUUAUAGCCCUCGGUGCAAUGCCGCCUACCUGGACCGAGGACCGCGCUUCGGCUAGGAUGCUGGCGUAAUGGUUGUAAGCGACCCGUCUUGAAACACGGACCAAGGAGUCUAACAUCUAUGCGAGUAUUUGGGUG
RNAcentral lists this ribosomal RNA (611 nucleotides) under uncultured fungus. RNAcentral describes it as "LSU rRNA". It matches the Rfam family "Eukaryotic large subunit ribosomal RNA", at positions 73 to 700 of the family's 3401-position model. The record is from RNAcentral. Lineage: Eukaryota; Fungi.